UCUCAGCGUAGCCACCCUUUCCCCAAACCCUAACCUACAACUGCUUCAGAAAGAAAGAAAGAAAGACAGAAAGGGAAAUAGAGAAGAGGGGGAGGACCGGAGGGGAAAGAGAGGAAGCAAGAAGGGAGGCGGCACCGGUGGGCGUCACUGCCACCGACGCCGCCGUCGUGACGCCGCCAGGAGGUUGGAACCGAGGAGAGUGAUAGAGCAGCAACCAUGGAAGAGUGAGAAGAGGCGAGCACGAGCCAAGAUCCGCGAUGGAGAGCUAUCACUGUUGGGUUCUGUCGGCUCCAUCUUGCCUAUGCCGGUGAGCACGAAUUGAGAGAGAUAGAUCGGACAGAGAGAGAGAAGGCUCGCGAGGGAGUCACCGCAGAAGGAGUUCACUGCCGCGUCCCGUUGCCUGCGCCACCUCCAUUCAUCCUCCUUGCUGCCCGACGCCAUCGCCGUUCGCGAAGGAGAAAGGGAGCUUGCGUUACCAUCAGAUCUGCCGUUUCUCACCAUCUCUAUCGCUGUCGUUAGUGCCUUGCUGUUGCUGCUGCCGCCGGGAGCUGCGCCACCAUGACCGAACUUCGGUAGCCAAGAAAAGCCUCUGCCAUUACUGAGAUCCCUUAUCGCUAUCGUCGCCGGAGUUCUGGCCGCCUGAUAACCUCGCCGCCGUCGUCAGAAAAUCUUGCUGGCAAGGGUUUAAGUUGGUCUUCGUUUCCUUUGGGUUUCUGAAGGCUUCAUUGUUGUUGUAUGAUUAGUUUCAGUAUCGUCGCCAGAGAGCUGGUCGCCGCUGCCACUCAAGGUGGUUACCGGGGCUGGUGCCAAACCGGUUCGGAGACCGCCGUUAUUUCAGUUUAGCCAUUCCUUCUUCGUUCCGUAAGCAUUUCGAUUUGAAAGCUCUUUAGAUUAUUGUUUUGAUAAAUUAGGCUGAGGUGUUGUGGCGUUAUCAGUCGUAGGGUUGUGUAUCGAUGCUGCGUGACGUGCUCAGAGCUCGCGGCUGCUUCGUUUUGCCAUGUUGCUAUGGUUAUUGCGAAAGUGGCUUGGAGCUGAGAUUUUGAUUAUCAGUGAUUUCGGGUCGAGACGAAAGGAGUUGGUUAACGAGUUUGGGUUGUGAUUUCAACGUAUCGAGGUAGGGGCUUUUUGUACAAACUGAUAUAUUUCAAACUGGAAAUUGUUGUAAAUAGAUAUGUUGAGCGAAAUGUAUUUCUAGUGAUUA
This is a long non-coding RNA of Arachis duranensis, 1201 nucleotides long. RefSeq lists it as uncharacterized. The transcript has 2 exons. The record is from RefSeq and is a predicted model, not a curated record. Lineage: Eukaryota; Viridiplantae; Streptophyta; Magnoliopsida; Fabales; Fabaceae.